This 237-nucleotide long non-coding RNA is filed under the name Nicotiana benthamiana. Its description in RNAcentral is "long non-coding RNA (NBEN_LNC022923)". Lineage: Eukaryota; Viridiplantae; Streptophyta; Magnoliopsida; Solanales; Solanaceae. The record is from RNAcentral.
AAAUCAAACAGCUCCAUCUUCUUUCAUCACGGAUCCAUCACCGAUUAGGUGGUCUAUCUUCCCAUCGGGUUGCUCAAAGAAGUCUGCCACAUUCAAGUAAGUGAUGUCAGAGUUGUCGUCAGAGACAAAAUUCGUUUUAGGGCAUUUACUCUUUCGAGAUGCUUGAUAAAGGUCAACCAAUGUCAUGGUAUACGGCAAGCCUUUGACCAGUGCCCGUUUCCACCGCAACGAUAAUAU